RNAcentral lists this transfer RNA (77 nucleotides) under Treponema sp. Its description in RNAcentral is "tRNA-Arg". It matches the Rfam family "tRNA". From Rfam's summary of the family: Transfer RNA (tRNA) molecules are approximately 80 nucleotides in length. Their secondary structure includes four short double-helical elements and three loops (D, anti-codon, and T loops). Further hydrogen bonds mediate the characteristic L-shaped molecular structure. tRNAs have two regions of fundamental functional importance: the anti-codon, which is responsible for specific mRNA codon recognition, and the 3' end, to which the tRNAs corresponding amino acid is attached (by aminoacyl-tRNA synthetases). tRNAs cope with the degeneracy of the genetic code in two manners: having more than one tRNA (with a specific anti-codon) for a particular amino acid; and 'wobble' base-pairing, i.e. permitting non-standard base-pairing at the 3rd anti-codon position. Lineage: Bacteria; Pseudomonadati; Spirochaetota; Spirochaetia; Treponematales; Treponemataceae. The record is from RNAcentral.
GAGACUGUAGCUCAACUGGAUAGAGUGUUGGCCUGCGGAGCCGAAGGUUGGGGAUUCGAACUCCCCCAGUCUCACUA